CCCACGUAGGAUGUCAGGGCCUGCCCCCUGGGUCCUGACUCCCAGUCUGGGGCUCUGCCUCUGCCUCUCCAAGCUCGCCUACAGCGGAAAGCAGGGGUGCUGUUCUAGGCGCUGAGGAUGCAGCCGUGCACAAGACGGAUGAAAUCCCUGCCCUCAGGGGGCCGACAUUUGCGGAGUAAAUAAAGGAAAGGCCAACAUGAACAGCUGAUUUGGAUACCAUCAAGACACCUGAAAUUUUAGCAUGAGCCAGAUGCCAAGGAAGAGACUCCGGGAGGAUCCUGAGGACCCCCCGGUUGCAGCCAUGUCGAGGCUGAUGCUGAGGAGGACCCCAACUGUCACGAGAAACACCCGUCGAACACAGCCACCCAGCUGGAGACAGAUCAAGAAGCUGUCACAGAUGAUGGAAGAAAACCUGAGGAAAGCGGGACAACCACUCAGAAUGAGUAAUGGUAGCUAUGAUAGUGGUAAUCACCAUUGCCGUGAGUAUUCCUUAAAGAAGGGCUGACACAGAGAACAAUUAUACUUAUUAGGCAUAUUCAUCAAUCUUGGCUGGCAAUAAUGCCUGGAUGUAAUCACUCUAUGACACAGUUACAUGUGCUUUCUGAUCUCAGUAUUUACCAUAACAAAUCUCCUCCUAUAAUUGAGGCAUACUGCCCUCAAAAACCUAUCUGUAACAAAAUUGAACCUGGCCAGAAAAAAUGAACAUACUUGUUUAGGAAGAUUGCAUUGCAGAACAGGCAGAGGUGCUGCACAACGAUUCCUAUGGAAUCAUUAUUAAUUGGUCCCCUAAAGGGAUGUUUAGCUUAAAUUGCACCAACAGGCCCCCCCGCAAAACCUGGCCAUAAACUGGCCCCGAAACUGACCAUGAACAAUAUCUCUGUGGCACUGUGACAUGUUCAUGAUGGCCAUGACGCCCACGCUGGAAGGUUGUGGGUUUACUGGAAUGAGGGCAAGGAACACCUUGCCCACCCAGGGCGGAAAACCACUUAAAGGCGUUUUUAAACCACAAACAACCGCAUGAGUGAUCUGUGCCUUAAGGACAUGCUCCUGCUGCAGAUAAGUAGCCAUACCCAUGCCUUUAUUUCAGCCCAUCCCUUUGCUUCCCAUAAGGGAUACUUUUAGUUAAUCUAAAAUCUAUAGAAACAAUGCUAAUGUUAAUAAAUACGUGGGUAAAUCUCUGUUUGAGGCUCUCAGCUCUGAAGGCUGUGAGACCCCUGAUUUCCCACUUCACACUUCUAUAUUUCUGUGUCUUUAAUUCCUCUAGCACCGCUGGGUUAGAGUUUCCCUGACUGAGCUGGUCUUGGCAUGAUUCUCCUGCCUCAGCCUCCCAAAUAGCUGGGAUUACAGGCAUGCACCACCAUGCCUUGUUAAUUUUUGUGUUUUUAGUAGAGAUGGGGUUUUACCAUGUUAGCCAGGCUGGUCUCGAACUCCUAGCUUCAAGAGAUCUUCCUGCCUCGGCCUCCCAAAGUGCUGGGAUUACAGGCAUGAGCCACUGUGCCCAGCCUGUUUUUAAUUUUUAUUUUCAAUUAAAAAAAUGUUUAUUGAGACAGAGUCUCACUCUGUCACCCAGGCUGGAGUGCAGUAGAGCAAUAAUGGCUCACUGCCACCUCGAACUCCCAGACUCAAACGAUCCUCCCA
This 1638-nucleotide long non-coding RNA is filed under the name Homo sapiens (human). Its description in RNAcentral is "HSALNT0260527". Lineage: Eukaryota; Metazoa; Chordata; Mammalia; Primates; Hominidae. The record is from RNAcentral.